GUGAAUCAUCGAAUCUUUGAACGCACAUUGCGCCCCCCGGUAUUCCGAGGGGCAUGCCUGUUCGAGCGUCAUUAUAGCCCAUCCAGCCCUGCUGGGUCCUGGGCUCGCCGUCCGGCGGGCCCCAAAGCUAGUGGCGGUGCCGUCCGGUGCUGGAGCGUAGUACAACCCCUCGCUACCGGCCCUGAGCGCGCGCCCGCCAGCGACCCCUUCUACGGUUGACCUCGGAUCAGGUAGGGAUACCCGCUGAACUUAAGCAUAUCAAUAAGCGGAGGA
RNAcentral lists this unclassified non-coding RNA (273 nucleotides) under fungal sp. RNAcentral's name for it is "partial contains 5.8S ribosomal RNA, internal transcribed spacer 2, and large subunit ribosomal RNA". The stretch from base 1 to 71 matches the Rfam family "5.8S ribosomal RNA", at positions 84 to 154 of the family's 154-position model. Lineage: Eukaryota; Fungi. The record is from RNAcentral.